UGGGCGUAAGCGCCGCAGGCGGUCUGUCUAGUCGGAUGUGAAAUCCCCGGGCUCAACCUGGGAACUGCAUUCGAAACUGGCAGGCUAGAGUCUUGUAGAGGGGGGUAGAAUUCCAGGUGUAGCGGUGAAAUGCGUAGAGAUCUGGAGGAAUACCGGUGGCGAAGGCGGCCCCCUGGACAGAGACUGACGCUCAGGUGCGAAAGCGUGGGGAGCAAACAGGAUUAGAUACCCUGGUAGUCCACGCCGUAAACGAUGUCGACUUGGAGGUUGUGCCCUUGAGGCGUGGCUUCCGGAGCUAACGCGUUAAGUCGACCGCCUGGGGAGUACGGCCGCAAGGGUAAAACUCCAAUGAAUUGACGGGGGCCCGCACAAGCGGUGGAGCAUGUGGUUUAAUUCGAUGCAACGCGAAGAACCUUACCUACUCUUGACAUCCAGAGAACUUUCCAGAGAUGCAUUGGUGCCUUCUGGAACUCUGAGACGGGUGCUGCAUGGCUGUCGUCAGCUCGUGUUGU
RNAcentral lists this ribosomal RNA (512 nucleotides) under Enterobacter hormaechei. RNAcentral's name for it is "bacterial SSU rRNA". It matches the Rfam family "Bacterial small subunit ribosomal RNA", at positions 555 to 1068 of the family's 1533-position model. The record is from RNAcentral. Lineage: Bacteria; Pseudomonadati; Pseudomonadota; Gammaproteobacteria; Enterobacterales; Enterobacteriaceae.